RNAcentral lists this ribosomal RNA (548 nucleotides) under uncultured Glomeromycotina. RNAcentral's name for it is "SSU rRNA". It matches the Rfam family "Eukaryotic small subunit ribosomal RNA", at positions 548 to 1098 of the family's 1831-position model. Lineage: Eukaryota; Fungi; Glomeromycota. The record is from RNAcentral.
UUGGAGGGCAAGUCUGGUGCCAGCAGCCGCGGUAAUUCCAGCUCCAAUAGCGUAUAUUAAAGUUGUUGCAGUUAAAAAGCUCGUAGUUGAAUUUUAGGCCUGGCCGGACGAUCCGUCUUUGGCGAGAACUGUUCUGUUGUCGGGUCAUCCUUCUGGUGAACCAGUAUGCUCUUAAUUGGGUGUGUUGGGGAGCCAGGACCAUUACCUUGAAAAAAUUAGAGUGUUUAAAGCGGGCUAUUGCUUGAAUAGAUUAGCAUGGAAUAAUAGAAUAGGACGUUGUGGUUCUAUUUUGUUGGUUUCUAGGACCACCGUAAUGAUUAAUAGGGAUAGUUGGGGGCAUUAGUAUUCAAUUGUCAGAGGUGAAAUUCUUGGAUUUAUUGAAGACUAACUAUUGCGAAAGCAUUUGCCAAGGAUGUUUUCAUUAAUCAAGAACGAAAGUUAGGGGAUCGAAGACGAUCAGAUACCGUCGUAGUCUUAACCAUAAACUAUGCCGACUAGGGAUCGGAUGAUGUUAUUUUUAAUGACUCAUUCGGCGCCUUACGGGAAAC